UUAAUUGAAACCAAAAAGAGGUAUAUUACUGUUAAUAAUAUUAUUAUAAUUAUAUCAAUUAUU
Molecule: transfer RNA, 63 nt
Filed under: Eoxenos laboulbenei
Lineage: Eukaryota; Metazoa; Arthropoda; Insecta; Strepsiptera; Mengenillidae
Description: transfer RNA-Asn
Source: RNAcentral